Molecule: ribosomal RNA, 468 nt
Filed under: uncultured bacterium
Lineage: Bacteria
Description: partial 16S ribosomal RNA
Rfam family: Bacterial small subunit ribosomal RNA
Source: RNAcentral
AACGAACGCUGGCGGCAUGCCUAACACAUGCAAGUCGAACGGAACCACCCUGCCUUUGUGGGGUGGUGGGCUGGCGAACGGGUGAGUAACACGUGAGUUACCUACCAUUGCCUUUGGGAUAACUUCAUGCCGCUGGGGCUAUUCCCGCCUAGGAGCUCUCGCUUCUUGGUGGGGGUUGGUUAGUUUCGGCGGUUGGGGAUGGACUCGCGGCCUAUCAGGUUGUUGGUUGGGUAGUGGCUAACCAAGGUCAUGAAGGGUAGCCGGCCUGGGAGGGCCACCGGACACACUGGGACUGAGAUACGGCCCAGCCUCCUACGGGAGGCAGCGGUGGGGAAGAUUGCACUAUGGGCGGAAGCCUGAUGCAGUAACGCCACGUGGGGGAAGACGGCCUUCGGGUUGUAUUGCGAUUCCGCUUUUGACGAAGCGAGAGUGACGGUAAUGGGUAAAGAAGCACCGGCUAACUACGUG